RNAcentral lists this small RNA (562 nucleotides) under Pongo abelii (Sumatran orangutan). RNAcentral describes it as "retained intron". The record is from RNAcentral. Lineage: Eukaryota; Metazoa; Chordata; Mammalia; Primates; Hominidae.
CUUUAAAGGGCUUGACCUAUUUUUUUGCUUCUUGAUUCAUUCUUGCCAUCCCCCAAUUUCUACCUUUUUUCAUACUAGACGACAGUGAAGGAGUCAGCCACAGAGGAGAAGCUGACCCCUGUGGUGCUAGCUAAACAGCUGGCAGCCCUGAAGCAGCAGCUGGUUGCUUCCCACCUGGAGAAGCUUCUGGGACCAGAUGCUGCAAUCAACCUUACCGACCCCGAUGGCGCCCUGGCUAAGUCGCAGAACUUGAAAAGCGCCUGACAGAGCUGGAGACAGCUGUACGUUGUGAUCAGGAUGCUCAGGUCAGGUGUUCUCCUGUACAUAAUCUGAGCCUUAGAUCCUGCAACUCUAGGCCUUAAGGUCUACAACAUUCCACAUAAGCCUGGGAGGAGUCAUCAAAGGGCUUCAGUUACAGGGAUCAGCUAGUGGGUUCCCAGCUAGAACCAGGAAAGAUGGGAGAUGAUAAUCAUGGAGAUAUAAGGACCACUCACUUCUUCCCUCCCUUUCCCACCAGAAUCCCCUUUCUGCAGGUCUACAGGGAGCCUGUCUCAUGGUGAGU